AUAAAGGGACGUAGGUGAUAUGCGUACUGUGGAGAAAAGCAGUGAAGUUUGUUCUCACAGCUUUAUUGCAGACCAAUAACUGGAGAGGCCCACACUCAUUGCUUCACCACUUCAACAUUUCCAACAUUUCCAGCAGUACCAUUAAAGCCGUUGUCAUGGAGAUACGUGGGUUUGCUGUAGGUUUGCUGUUGGCUUUGUCUGCCACCCUGUUGGUUGACACACAGACCACCGACGUGAUGAGGCGCUACAAGCACUUUCUCAGACAGCAUGUGAUCGAGGACAUGGAACUGAACCAGUGUGACCAAGUGAUCAACAAGAGGAACAUCAACAAAUGCAACACCAACAACUGCAAAGAAAUCAAUACCUUCAUCCUGGCCACAGAUGAGCAGGUCAGGGCAGUUUGCAGUGAUGGAGGCACACCUAAGGGUAGGAAUCUGUACGAAAGCACCAAACGUUUUCCUUUAGUCAUUUGCAAGUUAAAAAAGGGAGCCAGAUGCCCCAAAUGUGAGUAUAAUGGUAAAAAGAGCAGGCAAACCAUUACAGUGGCUUGUGUCAAGGGCUGGCCUGUGCACUUUGAAGGCAGCAACAUUGUUCUUGAUUUAUUCAAAGGAAUUUUUGAAAGGGCUUUGAUGAUGCUAUCUGGUUAAACAUUAAUGCAAAUUCAUUAAAGAUAUUGUAAUGUUUGCCAGAACAGACGCUUUCCUCAAAACUAAUGGCAAAAUAUGACAUAUACUGUGAACAAUGUACAUGAAACAUAGAUACUUAAAAUGUAAACUAACACUUUAUUCCAUUGUAUUACAUGGCAGGGGUACAUUUUCCACCUCCUGCCCCACCUGUUUAUAACUAGAAAGCAUAUUGGCCCACAAGAAAACAACAAUGUUUUAGGUAAAAUUGUUUGCAUCAACCACCUGCGGCUGCAUUAUCUCAAACUGAUGAGGUUAAAUUUGUCUUUAACUUGUCAAAAUGUUUAUAGUUUGAACAUGAUUAAUCUUUUUCUUUUUUCUUUACUUAUACUAAAUAAAACAUUUUUCACUUACA
Molecule: long non-coding RNA, 1038 nt
Organism: Electrophorus electricus (electric eel)
Lineage: Eukaryota; Metazoa; Chordata; Actinopteri; Gymnotiformes; Gymnotidae
Source: RefSeq, a predicted model, not a curated record